RNAcentral lists this long non-coding RNA (215 nucleotides) under Elaeis guineensis (African oil palm). Its description in RNAcentral is "long non-coding RNA (EGUI_LNC007471)". Lineage: Eukaryota; Viridiplantae; Streptophyta; Magnoliopsida; Arecales; Arecaceae. The record is from RNAcentral.
GAUCAUUUUAUUAUAAGUAGCAUCAAAGUAGUCUAUGUGUACUGGAGGACUCUAUAGCAUAGGUCUAUUUUUGUUGACCAUAGGCUAAUCAUAGUAUCUGCAAUUAAACUUAUUUUGAUUUGGACGUUAAUUAGCAUGAUUUGUGAGGACACCAGAUUUUAAAUAAGGGGACUAUGUGAGGGCAUAUGCAAAUAUCUAUUUAGUCCCAUAUCAAC